RNAcentral lists this ribosomal RNA (744 nucleotides) under uncultured Gammaproteobacteria bacterium. RNAcentral describes it as "bacterial SSU rRNA". It matches the Rfam family "Bacterial small subunit ribosomal RNA", at positions 32 to 767 of the family's 1533-position model. The record is from RNAcentral. Lineage: Bacteria; Pseudomonadati; Pseudomonadota; Gammaproteobacteria.
AACGCUGGCGGUAUGCUUAACACAUGCAAGUCGAACGGAAACGAUACUAGCUUGCUAGUAGGCGUCGAGUGGCGGACGGGUGAGUAACGCGUAGGAAUCUGCCUGAUAGUGGGGGAUAGCCCGAAGAAAUUCGGAUUAAUACCGCAUAAUCUAUUCGUAGUAAAGUGGGGGACUUUCGAGCCUCACGCUAUCAGAUGAGCCUGCGUAAGAUUAGCUUGUUGGUAGGGUAAAAGCCUACCAAGGCGACGAUCUUUAGCUGGUCUGAGAGGAUGAUCAGCCACAUCGGGACUGAGACACGGCCCGAACUCCUACGGGAGGCAGCAGUGGGGAAUAUUGGACAAUGGGGGCAACCCUGAUCCAGCAAUACCGCGUGUGUGAAGAAGGCCUGAGGGUUGUAAAGCACUUUCAAUUGUGAAGAAAAGUUAGCGGUUAAUAACCGUUAGCCUUGACGUUAACUUUAGAAGAAGCACCGGCUAACUCCGUGCCAGCAGCCGCGGUAAUACGGAGGGUGCAAGCGUUAAUCGGAAUUACUGGGCGUAAAGCGUGCGUAGGCGGUUUAUUAAGUCAGAUGUGAAAGCCCCGGGCUUAACCUGGGAACUGCAUUUGAAACUGGUCAACUAGAGUAUGGUAGAGGAAAGUGGAAUUUCUGGUGUAGCGGUGAAAUGCGUAGAUAUCAGAAGGAACAUCAAUGGCGAAGGCAGCUUUCUGGACCAAUACUGACGCUGAGGUACGAAAGCGUGGGUA